This 435-nucleotide ribosomal RNA is filed under the name uncultured bacterium. RNAcentral describes it as "bacterial SSU rRNA". It matches the Rfam family "Bacterial small subunit ribosomal RNA", at positions 355 to 804 of the family's 1533-position model. The record is from RNAcentral.
UCGGGAAUUUUGGGCAAUGGGGGAAACCCUGACCCAGCAACGCCGCGUGAAGGAUGAAGUAUUUCGGUAUGUAAACUUCGAAAGAAUAGGAAGAAUAAAUGACGGUACUAUUUUAUAAGGUCCGGCUAACUACGUGCCAGCAGCCGCGGUAAUACGUAGGGACCAAGCGUUGUUCGGAUUUACUGGGCGUAAAGGGCGCGUAGGCGGCAUGACAAGUCACUUGUGAAAUCUCUGGGCUUAACCCAGAACGGCCAAGUGAUACUGUCGCGCUAGAGUGCAGAAGGGGCAAUCGGAAUUCUUGGUGUAGCGGUGAAAUGCGUAGAUAUCAAGAGGAACACCUGAGGUGAAGACGGGUUGCUGGGCUGACACUGACGCUGAGGCGCGAAAGCCAGGGGAGCAAACGGGAUUAGAUACCCAUGUAGUCCCUGAGCGGGC